Molecule: ribosomal RNA, 576 nt
Filed under: uncultured bacterium
Lineage: Bacteria
Description: partial 16S ribosomal RNA
Rfam family: Bacterial small subunit ribosomal RNA
Source: RNAcentral
UGGGGAAUUUUGGACAAUGGGCGAAAGCCUGAUCCAGCAAUGCCGCGUGUGUGAAGAAGGCCUUCGGGUUGUAAAGCACUUUUGUCCGGAAAGAAAUCCUUGGCUCUAAUACAGUCGGGGGAUGACGGUACCGGAAGAAUAAGCACCGGCUAACUACGUGCCAGCAGCCGCGGUAAUACGUAGGGUGCAAGCGUUAAUCGGAAUUACUGGGCGUAAAGCGUGCGCAGGCGGUUUGCUAAGACCGAUAUGAAAUCCCCGGGCUCAACCUGGGAACUGCAUUGGUGACUGGCAGGCUAGAGUAUGGCAGAGGGGGGUAGAAUUCCACGUGUAGCAGUGAAAUGCGUAGAGAUGUGGAGGAAUACCGAUGGCGAAGGCAGCCCCCUGGGCCAAUACUGACGCUCAUGCACGAAAGCGUGGGGAGCAAACAGGAUUAGAUACCCUGGUAGUCCACGCCCUAAAACGAUGUCAACUAGUUGUUGGGGAUUCAUUUCCUUAGUAACGUAGCUAACGCGUGAAGUUGACCGCCUGGGGAGUACGGUCGCAAGAUUAAAACUCAAAUGAAUUGACGGGGUCAUA